RNAcentral lists this ribosomal RNA (460 nucleotides) under uncultured bacterium. RNAcentral's name for it is "partial 16S ribosomal RNA". It matches the Rfam family "Bacterial small subunit ribosomal RNA", at positions 338 to 795 of the family's 1533-position model. The record is from RNAcentral.
CCUACGGGUGGCAGCAGUGAGGAAUAUUGGUCAAUGGGCGCGAGCCUGAACCAGCCAAGUAGCGUGAAGGAUGACUGCCCUACGGGUUGUACACUUCUUUUAUAAAGGAAUAAAGUGAGGCACGUGUGCCUUUUUGUAUGUACUUUAUGAAUACGGAUCGGCUAACUCCGUGCCAGCAGCCGCGGUAAUACGGAGGAUCCGAGAGUUAUCCGGAUUUAUUUGGUUUAAAGGGAGCGUAGAUGGGUUGUUAAGUCAGUUGUGAAAGUUUGCGGGUCACCCGUAGAAGUGCAAUUGAUACUGGCAGUCUUGAGUACAGUGGAGGUAGGCGGAAUUCGUGGUGUAGCGGUGACAUGAUUAGAUAGCACGAAGAACUCCGAUUGAGAAGGCAGCUUACUAAACUGCCAAGGACAGUGAUGCUCGAAAGUGUGGGUAUCAAACAGGAUUAGAUACCCUUGUAGUC